ACCAGGUACACAGGAAAAGCCUCAGGAACUUUUGAAUUUAAUUUCCUGUUUGGUCAGCAUGGCGAGCUCAGCAGAACAAGUGACCAUGCAGUCCCAGAAUCGCAUAAUGAGCUCCAGCAUGGAGUGAACGGGAAACGCUGGAUCGGAUUGCUGUAUGGGGAGAAGAAUCUGUGCAGGCAAAACUCCGAUCCAGCAGAAGAAAUGUUGAUAUAUACCAAAAUUGCACAAGGCAUGAUGGAGAGAGGCUACACCAGGGAGACCCCGCAGUGCCAUGUGAAAGUAAAGGAGCUCAAGCAAGCCUACCACAAGACAAGGGAUGCAAACGGUCGCUCCGGGUCAGAGCCCCAUACAUGAUGCUUCUGUGAUCAGCCGCAUGCCAUUCUAGGUGGGGACCCUACCAGUACUCCUCCACUGUCUGUUGACAUCUGCAAGGGGGGAGUCUCACGCAACAUGGAAGAGGAUUUUGUGGAUGAGGAGAAGAAGAAUGUGCAGCAGGCAAGCAGAGAAUCCGUUCUCCCUGGCAGCCAGGACCUUUUCAUCACUCUGGAGCCAGUACCCUCCCACGGCGAAUUGUACCUGGACCCUGAAGAUGGAGAAGGCACCUCUGGUGCCCAUAUUUCUAUGCUCCCCAUAUCAACUCCAUCCCUGAGGUUAUCGCAGAUUAAAAGCUGAAAAAAACGCACUUGUGAUGACGUUUUCUGAGCUCAUGCAGUUCUCCCACAUGGACAGGGCACAACUGAAUGCAUGGAGGCAUUCAGUGGCAGAGGCCAUGAAAGCAUACAGUGACCGUGAUCAGAACACACAGGAGGAGAUGCUGAAGCUAAUGGGGCAACAAACGGACAUGAUCAGGCAUCUGGUGGAGCUGCAGGAAAGGCAACUAGAGCACAGACCCACGUUGCAUCCAUUGUAUAACCGUCCUCGUCAAGUUCCAUAUCCUCCUCACCCAGAUGCCCAAGAACGCAGGAGGGGGCACCUAGCCACUCAACUCUAGAGGAUGGCCCAAGCAACAGACGGCUGUCAUUCAAACAGCUUUGAUUUGCAGUGUGACUACAAUAAGCAAUGGGGGAUUGUCCUUCCCUCCUCCCCCACUCCACCCAGGCUACUGUAUCAGUGAUCUCCCUU
Gopherus flavomarginatus (Mexican gopher tortoise) is the source of this 1122-nucleotide long non-coding RNA. RefSeq lists it as uncharacterized. Lineage: Eukaryota; Metazoa; Chordata; Testudines; Testudinidae. The transcript is spliced from 2 exons. The record is from RefSeq and is a predicted model, not a curated record.